AAAAUAGAAAAAUGCAUAAAAAUAAAAGAAAUAGUAAAAAUAAUUUGAUAGAAAUUUUCAACGGGUAAAAAAAAAAAAAUUAACUAGUGUCUCUUAAUAAAAUUAUUAAGGAAAAAUUUCAAAUAUCACCUUUGUAGUUUCACACUUUCUCACUUUAGUACCCUGUGGUUUAAAGUGUAUCAAUUUAGUGCCCUGUGAUUUUAUUUUUAUCUUUUUAUUAUCAAUUUCACUAAUUUUUUUUGUUAAAUUAAUGACAAAAUUAAAACUUAAUGGUAUUAAAGUGAAUAUUUGAUAAACCUAGGUGGAAUAUCUGAAAUUUUUUUGUAUAUAAUUUAAUGAAAUAUUAAGAGAGAAGCUGGCGAAAAGAUAAAAAUGAAACCACAGGACACUAACUUGAUACACUUUAAACCAUAGCGUAUACCCAAUUAUUAAAUUUCGUCUAAAAUAACCGAUUUGUUAGAAAUAAUAUACUAAUGGGCAAAAAGAAAAUAUUUUA
RNAcentral lists this long non-coding RNA (496 nucleotides) under Ananas comosus (pineapple). Its description in RNAcentral is "long non-coding RNA (ACOM_LNC027843)". The record is from RNAcentral. Lineage: Eukaryota; Viridiplantae; Streptophyta; Magnoliopsida; Poales; Bromeliaceae.